RNAcentral lists this ribosomal RNA (495 nucleotides) under uncultured bacterium. RNAcentral's name for it is "partial 16S ribosomal RNA". It matches the Rfam family "Bacterial small subunit ribosomal RNA", at positions 28 to 505 of the family's 1533-position model. The record is from RNAcentral.
GAUGAACGCUGGCGGCGUGCCUAAUACAUGCAAGUCGAGCGAACAGACGAGGAGCUUGCUCCUCUGACGUUAGCGGCGGACGGGUGAGUAACACGUGGAUAACCUACCUAUAAGACUGGGAUAACUUCGGGAAACCGGAGCUAAUACCGGAUAAUAUAUUGAACCGCAUGGUUCAAUAGUGAAAGACGGUUUUGCUGUCACUUAUAGAUGGAUCCGCGCCGCAUUAGCUAGUUGGUAAGGUAACGGCUUACCAAGGCGACGAUGCGUAGCCGACCUGAGAGGGGGAUCGGCCACACUGGAACGGAGACCGGGUCCAGACUCCUACGGGAGGCAGCAGUAGGGAAUCUUCCGCAAGGGGCGAAAGCCUGACGGAGCAACGCCGCGUGAGUGAGGAAGGUCUUCGGAUCGAAAAACUCUGUUAUUAGGGAAAAACAAAUGUGUAAGAAACUAUGCACGUCUUGACGGGACCUAAUCAGAAAGCCACGGCUAACUACG